RNAcentral lists this ribosomal RNA (830 nucleotides) under Anzia colpodes. RNAcentral describes it as "SSU rRNA". It matches the Rfam family "Bacterial small subunit ribosomal RNA", at positions 370 to 1190 of the family's 1533-position model. Lineage: Eukaryota; Fungi; Ascomycota; Lecanoromycetes; Lecanorales; Parmeliaceae. The record is from RNAcentral.
AAUAGCCUAACGGCUGAACCAGCAACUUGGAGGAAUGUAUAGCAAUAGCUACUUGCACCAUUAUAAAUAUGAUGCAAGAUCGACUAUGUCGAAUAAAAUUCUAGGUAGAAUUAUGAUAAUGACAUUAUCUGCCUAUGUGUCUUGACCAAAUUACGUGCCAGCAGUCGCGGUAAUACGUAGAAGACUAGUGUUAUUCAUGUUUAAUCGGUUUAAAGGGUACCUAGACGGUAAAUCAAGCCUACAUAAAAUCAAMAAAAAAAGGGACUAAUUUACUAGAGUUACUKGUGAGGGGGUAUUAAAGUACUGCUGGUGUAGAGAUGAAAUUCUGUCAUACCUCUUUUCAAUAGAAAAAUUAUGGCACAGGUAUAGGCGAAGGCAUCCCCUUAUGUGAUAACUGACGUUGAGGGACGAAGGCUUUGUGUAUCGAACAGGAUUAGGUACCCAAGUAGUCAAAGCAGAAAAUGAUGAAUGUCAUAGAUUAGAUAAAUAAGUUUAUUCUAUAAAUGAAAGUGUAAGCAUUCCACCUCAAGAGUAAUUUGGCAACAUUGGAACUGAAAUCAUUAGACCGUUUCUGAAACCAGUAGUGAAGUAUGUUGUUUAAUUAGAUAAUACGCAAAAAACCUUACCACAAUUUGAAUAUUUAUAUUAUUUGUUGUUUUCUUAAAGGUAAUAAGAGGCAAUAAGAUAUAUUUACAAGUGUUGCACGGCUGUCUUCAGUUAAUGUCGUGAGACUAUGGUUAGUUCCAUUAAAUUAACGUAAACCCUUACUUUAUUUUUAGAUAGAGUUGUUCCCCACUAUAUUGGAUAUGAUAACAGGGACUAGGACAAGU